Dipodomys ordii (Ord's kangaroo rat) is the source of this 70-nucleotide non-coding RNA. The record is from Rfam. Lineage: Eukaryota; Metazoa; Chordata; Mammalia; Rodentia; Heteromyidae.
GGGAAAGUGGCUCAGUGGUAGAGUGCUUGCCUUGCAUGCAUGAGGCUCUUGGUUUGAUUCCUAAGCACCA